GGCCAGCCGCCCCGCCCCCCGGCCGCCAUUUCGUGCUAGGGCUCCUCACCCGGCGCGCGGUCUCCGCGUGAUGGAUGCCCGGAAGCCGGGACAACAAAGGCCGGCGCUUGGAGCUGCGGGCCCUUCCGCUGCCCGCGGGGCGAAGAUGGCGCCUGGAGACCGAAGCAGCACCGAAGUAUGGGGUGAGGCGUGCGGGCGCCUCCACCAACUUCGAUGGGCCGGCGGGCCUUCCCCUGGAGGUUCACGGUCUCGGGUGUGCAGGACCCGGGGGUGUACACUCUUCUGUGUAUGCACAACCCCGGAGCAUGCACCCACCACACUAUGCCUAAACUCAUGUUUGCACUACCCGACACUUUGCACAGACGUCCCUGAGAAGUAGACUUGCUUUUUCUGCCCACGAGUGUGCACGGAUCCUCGGCUUUCCACGUAUUCGUGUGUGCACGACCUCGAGGACGUGCUCGGACCCAAGUUUGCCCAGACUCAACGUUUGCAACAAUGCAGAAUGUGCUCAAACGCGUGCGUUCAGGAACCUGGGGUGUGCAAGAUUGCAUGUGUGCCUCGUCCAGGGAUGUGCACUGACUUGCCAGGGCAAGCCGCCUCCGGUGGCCUGGGGCACCCGCGAAAACUAUCUGGCCUCUCUUGGAUUCACUUUUGCCGUGGAUUCAAGUUUGCACGGGGCUCUUUGACAUGACUCGGAGCCCGCGGCCUGGUUGGGGAAACAGAUUCAUGGAGAUGUACCUGAUGGAGGCAGCUUGGCUCCAGGUCAGGAAAGCUUCCUGAAGGAAGCCCUGAUCCAAGGUCUACCCAGGCAGUCAGGGCUUGGCUGGGAGGAGUGGAGGGGGUGGAGGUCAAGGCCCAGGUGGGUGCUCGGGCUUGUGGACUUUGUUCUAGGAGAUGCUACCAAGUUCACAUUCGAGAGAGGGCAGGAGAUGGAGAGGGUCAGGUGGGGCAGGGACAGUUUGGGAGCUUUUGGGGACAGGAGGUGUCGUGGAACAACUGGGAGGUUGUUGGGAGGACCUGGUGGGGAGGAAAAGGACUGUGCAUCCAUCAUCCACGGGUCCCUCAGGACCAGGGCCGCUUGGUGUCCCCUGGCUGUUUCCAUCUCCCACAGGACUGUGGCUGUUGAUGGCCUUUGCUGUGUCCGGCACCCUCCUUGGCCCUGGAGAGGGACAUACACCAGCCCCAGUGCUGCCUGUUACCAGCUGGGUGCCUGAGCAAGUUGCUGGGAACAGCUCUGUAGCACCUCCAGGGUGCUGUCAUCAGGCCUGUUUGACUGUGUCUCGUGAUGGCGAACGGGCCACUUCACAGGGAGAGAGGUCCCACAGGAAUCUGAAGAAAGGAAACGGAGAUAUGGGCACUCAACAGCAUGAGGCAUAAUCCAUACACAGAUAAAAUGGUCAUGUCUUAGCAUGA
This 1413-nucleotide long non-coding RNA is filed under the name Dasypus novemcinctus (nine-banded armadillo). RNAcentral describes it as "lncRNA (ENSDNOG00000052218.1)". Lineage: Eukaryota; Metazoa; Chordata; Mammalia; Cingulata; Dasypodidae. The record is from RNAcentral.